This 253-nucleotide ribosomal RNA is filed under the name uncultured bacterium. RNAcentral's name for it is "partial 16S ribosomal RNA". It matches the Rfam family "Bacterial small subunit ribosomal RNA", at positions 524 to 776 of the family's 1533-position model. The record is from RNAcentral.
GACGGAGGUGGCAAGCGUUGCUCGGAUUUACUGGGUGUAAAGGGCACGUAGGCGGCCUGCUAAGCCCCGCCUAAAAUGCUCUGGCUCAACCAGAGCUGGAGGUGGGGGACUGGCGGGCUUGAGGAUUGGAGAGGCGAGCGGAAUUCCCGGUGUAAGGGUGAAAUCUGUAGAGAUCGGGAGGAACACCAGUGGCGAAAGCGGCUCGCUGGCCAAUUUCUGACGCUGAGGUGCGAAAGCUAGGGGAGCAAACAGG